GACGAACGCUGGCGGCGUACCUAAUACAUGCAAGUAGAACGCAGUUGCGAACGGGUGAGUAACGCGUAGGUAACUGCCUCAUAGCGGGGGAUAACUAUUGGAAACGCUAGCUAAUACCGCAUACUGUGCGAUGGACCUGCGUUUUAUUAGCUAGUUGGUGAGGUAAAGGCUCACCAAGGCGACGAUACAUAGCCGACCUGAGAGGGUGAACGGCCACAACGGGACUGAGAGACGGGCCAGACAGACACGGGAGGCCACUGUAGGGAAUCUUCGGGAAAGGACGGAAAUCUGACCGAGCAAAGCCGCGUGAGUGGAGAAGGUUUUCGGAUCGUAAAGCUCGUUUGUUAGGGAAGCGGUGACGAACCAGAAAGGGACGGCUAACUACGUGCCAGCAGCCGCGGUAAUUC
Molecule: ribosomal RNA, 407 nt
Filed under: uncultured bacterium
Lineage: Bacteria
Description: partial 16S ribosomal RNA
Rfam family: Bacterial small subunit ribosomal RNA
Source: RNAcentral